AGCGGGAAUAUUCCCAUAAGACGAGAAGACCCCAUGGAGCUUCAAACCCAAUUACACCCCUAACCCCUAUAACUACUUAACCCUUAGGAUUCUGUAUUAUUGGUUUUAGGUUGGGGCGACCACGGAGUACAACAAAACCUCCACAAUGAACGGAACUACUUCCUCAUCUGAGAGCUACACCUCUAAGAAUUAAAAUAUUAACAUAAAAUGAUCCAUUUUUGAUCAAUGAACCAAGUUACCCUGGGGAUAACAGCGCAAUCCAUUUCAAGAGCCCCUAUCGACAAAUGGG
RNAcentral lists this ribosomal RNA (289 nucleotides) under Mantidactylus katae. RNAcentral's name for it is "partial 16S ribosomal RNA". It matches the Rfam family "Bacterial large subunit ribosomal RNA", at positions 2073 to 2516 of the family's 2925-position model. The record is from RNAcentral. Lineage: Eukaryota; Metazoa; Chordata; Amphibia; Anura; Mantellidae.